Cucurbita maxima (winter squash) is the source of this 87-nucleotide long non-coding RNA. RefSeq lists it as uncharacterized. The record is from RefSeq and is a predicted model, not a curated record. NCBI's taxonomy places the organism in Eukaryota, Viridiplantae, Streptophyta, Magnoliopsida, Cucurbitales, Cucurbitaceae. The transcript has 3 exons.
UAUGAAUUAAAUUGAAACAUAAAGAUAAACAAGGAAGCUGAAAUUAAAUUGAUGAUGCGAAUAGAUGGCAAAUUGCAAGCCUGGCUA